Molecule: small nuclear RNA, 102 nt
Organism: Oryctolagus cuniculus (rabbit)
Lineage: Eukaryota; Metazoa; Chordata; Mammalia; Lagomorpha; Leporidae
Source: Ensembl
GUGCUCACUUCAGCACAUAUACUAAAAUUGGAGCAAAAUAGAGAUGAGCACAGCCCCUAAGCAAGGGAUGACUCGCAAAUUCAUAAAGUGUUCCAUAUUUAA